UGGGGAAUUUUGGACAAUGGGGGAAACCCUGAUCCAGCCAUCCCGCGUGUGCGAUGAAGGCCUUCGGGUUGUAAAGCACUUUUGGCAGGAAAGAAACGUCGCGGGUUAAUACCCCGCGAAACUGACGGUACCUGCAGAAUAAGCACCGGCUAACUACGUGCCAGCAGCCGCGGUAAUACGUAGGGUGCAAGCGUUAAUCGGAAUUACUGGGCGUAAAGCGUGCGCAGGCGGUUCGGAAAGAAAGAUGUGAAAUCCCAGAGCUUAACUUUGGAACUGCAUUUUUAACUACCGGGCUAGAGUGUGUCAGAGGGAGGUGGAAUUCCGCGUGUAGCAGUGAAAUGCGUAGAUAUGCGGAGGAACACCGAUGGCGAAGGCAGCCUCCUGGGAUAACACUGACGCUCAUGCACGAAAGCGUGGGGAGCAAACAGGAUUAGAUACCCUGGUAGUCCACGCCCUAAACGAUGUCAACUAGCUGUUGGGGGCCUUCGGGCCUUGGUAGCGCAGCUAACGCGUGAAGUUGACCGCCUGGGGAGUACGGUCGCAAGAUUAAAAACUCAAAGGAAUUGACGGGGUCAUAGCUGUUUUCCU
RNAcentral lists this ribosomal RNA (588 nucleotides) under uncultured bacterium. RNAcentral's name for it is "partial 16S ribosomal RNA". It matches the Rfam family "Bacterial small subunit ribosomal RNA", at positions 355 to 1375 of the family's 1533-position model. The record is from RNAcentral.